This 299-nucleotide unclassified non-coding RNA is filed under the name plant metagenome. RNAcentral describes it as "partial contains 5.8S ribosomal RNA, internal transcribed spacer 2, and large subunit ribosomal RNA". The stretch from base 1 to 105 matches the Rfam family "5.8S ribosomal RNA", at positions 50 to 154 of the family's 154-position model. The record is from RNAcentral.
GAAAUGCGAUAAGUAAUGUGAAUUGCAGAAUUCAGUGAAUCAUCGAAUCUUUGAACGCACAUUGCGCUCGCCAGUAUUCUGGCGAGCAUGCCUGUUCGAGCGUCAUUUCAACCAUCAAGCUCUGCUUGCGUUGGGGAUCCGCGGCUGCCCGCGGUCCCUCAAAAACAGUGGCGGACUCGCUAGUCACACCGAGCGUAGUAACUCUACAUCGCUAUGGUCGUGCGGCGGGUUCUUGCCGUAAAACCCCCAAUUUCUAAGGUUGACCUCGGAUCAGGUAGGAAUACCCGCUGAACUUAAGC